Pecten maximus is the source of this 1206-nucleotide long non-coding RNA. RefSeq lists it as uncharacterized. The transcript is spliced from 5 exons. The record is from RefSeq and is a predicted model, not a curated record. NCBI's taxonomy places the organism in Eukaryota, Metazoa, Mollusca, Bivalvia, Pectinida, Pectinidae.
AUAAGUCUGUUCUGUAGACAGCGAUAUUUCAACCCUUGUUAUGAGUCUGGCUGGUCAGCAAGACGCUUGCUGAAUGGUGGCCAGUCAAACUCUUACACGAGGGCUGAGCUAUCUCUGUCCGAGGAACGGAUCCAUGUUUGAUUAUUUUUUCUCACUAAUAAAUAAAUAUGAUCAAGUAGAAAUAAACAUCAAUCUUUUUCGUCUGCGAAUAAACAAAAAAUUGUUUGGGUUGUAGCCUGUAGGGUUCAGGUAUAUAUACUUACAUAAACUGCUAGAGUUGUAAUUACAUAAACUGUUAGGGUUGUAGGGUUUCGGUGAGUAGGGUUUCGGGUUGUACUUACCGGGUACAUAAACUGUUAGGGUUGUAAGGUUUCGGGUUGUAGGGUUUUGGGUUGUUGGGUUUUGGGUUGUAGGGUUUCGGGUUGUACUUACAUAAACUGUAAGGAUUGUAAGGUUUCGGAUUAUAAGGUUUUGGGUUGUACUUACAUAAACUGUUAGGGUUGUAGGAUUUAGGGUUGUAGGGUUGUAGGGUUUCUGGUUGUGGGAUAUCGGGUUAUAGGGUUUCGGAUUGUUCUUACAUAAACUGUUAGGGUUGUAGGGUAUCAGGUUGUAGGGUUUCGGGUUGUAGGGUAUCAGGUUGUAGGGUUUCGGGUUGUCAGAUUCGGGUCGUAGGGCUUCGGGUUGUAGGGUUUCUGGUUGUACUUAUAUAAACUGUUAGGGUUGUAGGGUUUCGGGUUGUCGGAUUGGGGUUGUAGGGCUUUGGGUUGUAGGGUUUCAGGUUGUACUUAUAUAAACAGUUAGGGUUGUAGGGUUUCGGGUUGUACUUACAUAAACUGUUAGGGUUGUAGGGUUUCGGGUUGUACUUACAUAAACUGUUAGGGUUGUAGGGUUUCGGGUUGUAGGGUUUCGGGUUGUACUUACAUAAACUGUUAGGGUUGUAGGGUUUCGGGUUGUAGGGUUUCGGGUUGUACUUACAUAAACUGUUAGGGUUGUAGGGUUUCGGGUUGUAGGGUUUCGGGUUGUCGGAUUCGGAUUGUAGGGUUUUGGGUUGUAGGGUUUCAGGUUGUACUUACAUAAACUGUUAGGGUUGUAGGGUUUCGGGUUGUACUUACAUAAACUGUUAGGGUUGUAGGGUUUUGGGUUGUAGGUUUGUACUUACAUAAACUGUUAGGGUUUUGGGUUGUAGGGUUGUACUUACAUAAACUG